GGCGCUGUGGCUUAGUUGGUUAAAGCGCCUGUCUAGUAAACAGGAGAUCCUGAGUUCGAAUCUCCGCAGUGUCU
Molecule: transfer RNA, 74 nt
Filed under: Xenopus laevis (African clawed frog)
Lineage: Eukaryota; Metazoa; Chordata; Amphibia; Anura; Pipidae
Rfam family: tRNA
About the family: Transfer RNA (tRNA) molecules are approximately 80 nucleotides in length. Their secondary structure includes four short double-helical elements and three loops (D, anti-codon, and T loops).
Source: Rfam by way of RNAcentral